UGCCACCACAAUUACUGCAGAUCAUAAUCAUAUCAACGCAGUCCCGGCUAAUAUGACCGGGCCGGCCACAAUUCCGGCAGAUCAUGUCCCGAAAAGGGUCAUCCCUCAAUGACGAGCCCACCGGGCCCAGAAAGGUAGAUGGGCGGGAUUUAACAGAGCCCACCAGACUGGACGAACCCGACUUGGGACACUGACGAGCUACAUGCCCAGCUAUGCUGCAAAUGUUGCAAACUGGAUCAUUACGACAGUCACGAGCAAGGUGACCUGUUUUCCGACAGUUAUUGCAAGCUUUCUCAUUGGUGCAAUCAGCUGCAACAUGCCCGGCUUUAUAACAGUUGUUGCAAAGACGAGCAUCGUAUGACGAAGCACUUGGGCUAUGACAAUCACGGGCCAGAUGACCGAUUUUACCACACAUGUGGCACACGGACUCGUUGGGGCAUUCACUUGAGACGUGUCCUGAUUCCUUGCAGUUCCAACACAUGGUGGUUGAUGUGCACUCAGCGGAAACAUGGCUACAAGAUGUCCACAAUUGUUGCAGACAGUGGCGUUUGGACAAUCUCUGGCAAAGUGUCCAGGUCGCCUACAUUUGUUGCACAGAUAA
RNAcentral lists this long non-coding RNA (601 nucleotides) under Helianthus annuus (common sunflower). RNAcentral describes it as "sRNA HanXRQr2_Chr08g0332761". Lineage: Eukaryota; Viridiplantae; Streptophyta; Magnoliopsida; Asterales; Asteraceae. The record is from RNAcentral.